CUUUUCUAUUUCAAUUUUAUCCCUUUUUGUUUUCUUUUUUCUUUCCCAUCAAAAUUAAUUGUUUUUCUCUUUUCCUGUGAUUAAUUGUUAGUUUCAUGUUACCAUCAUAAUGUCUAACAGGUAUCGGAACUCUCGAGCUAACAGGUGGGAGGAAAUUACUCACCAAGAACAGUUGAUUUUGGCAAAGAAACGAGAGAUUGAAGAGCGAUUAAAAUCAACCGAUGUUUCAUCUUGUAAUUCACCUUCUACGAUAACAUCGUCAUCAUCACUGCCACCGUCUUCGAAUUCAUCAUCAUCAUCUUCGUCUCAUUCUCAAAUCGAUCCAAUAACCACCACAACAGUAUCACCUUCAAUCUCAAUAGUUAAUGAUUCAAAUAACUCUGAUAUCGAUAACAGACCAGCAUUCAUUAAUAGAUUUUCAAAUGAUGGCAGUUUCAUGGAAAUGUUCAAAAAGAUGCAAAAUCCAAAUUCAUCUUCCAGCUCUCCGGUCAAGUUUGUUAAAAGUGAAGAGGAAGGACAAUUAACACCAGUAGACAAUGAACAGAGUUUAAAGCCCAAAUUGGAGGACAUUGAUGAGAGAGUUAAACUGCCUGUUAAUCAGGACCAUAAUCUUCAAGAGGAACAACAAUCAAAGAAAGUCUCUCCAUCAGGAGAUGAUGAGAUAAGAAUGGCGAUUGAAAAAAGUGCCAUCUAUGUCGCUAUGAAUGGUUCAGAAGCUGAAGCCAGAUUAAAAAGUGAUUGCAUCAAUGAUUCAGACUACAGAUGGUUAUACCAGGAAGAUAAUGUGAACCACCAGUAUUACAAGCGACGAGUAGAGGAGUUGAAGGAGGCCAAAACGAGAGCAGCCGAUUUUGAGUUAUCUGCAUCAUCGCCGUCAACUUCAACAACAACAACAACAAACAAUCCUGAAGAUACUUUAUCGUCACUUGCUGAUUAUCAUGAUUUAGAUGAACGUAAUCCGAUUGAUAUGAAAGGUAGAAAGAGGAAAGAAAGUCGUUGGUCGGAAUUUUCUUCAAAUCAAUCAGUGAACGAGGAUGAUGAUCAAGAAGCAUCAAGUUCAUCAAUUGUGCCUCCACAAGAUCCUGAAUUGAUUAAAUAUGCGAUCCAAGUGUUUGGAAGGUGUAAUUUAACUGCUGAACAGUGGAAACAAUUGGAAGAUCAAAGGAAGAUGAAAGUUCUGGUCGCCAUGGUACAGAGAAAGAAAGCCAAGAGAGCUAAAUUCGAGGCCAGUGGACGUCCGAUGUACGAAUAUGAUUCAGAUGAGGAGGUUGACGGUGGAACUUGGGAACAUAAGAAAAGAAUGGAGGAAAUGGAGAAAACAAGAGAAUGGGCCGAUAAAAUAACAGAAAUGAACAAAGGUAAACAUCAUAUUGGUGAUUUUCUACCACCUGAUCAAUUGGAACGGUUCAUGAAAAAAUGGGACUCGAUUAAAGAUGGAUCAACUUCAAUACUUUUCGAUGAAGAUUAUCAAGAUUUCAAGCUUCAAUCUCAGAAUAAAGGUUACAAAAUGCUGGAGAAAAUUGGUUGGAGCGAAGGUCAAGGGUUGGGGGUUGAUAGUAAAGGAACUACAAAGCCAGUUGAUGCCGAUGGAGCUUGGGGUGAACGUGCUGGUCUAGGACAAAAACGACCUGAUCAGCUUGAAGCUGAUGAUGAUGAAUACGAAGCCUACCGGAAACGGAUGAUGUUAGCCUACCGAUUCAGACCAAAUCCAUUGAAUAACCCACGAAGACCUUAUUACUAAAAUUAAUAAUAUAAUCUAUAAAAUUGAACAAUUUAAUUGGAUCGCAAAUAAAUUUGAUGGGCGAUAUUUAGACUUUAAUUAUCGAUAGAAUCGAUUUACUAGCGACAGAGAAAAAGACAGGAAAAGAAAGUGAAACAUUUCAAGUUGUCCAUUUCGAUAGUGACCUGCAUUCGAUUGACAAAAUCUUCUCUCUAUCUUUGGAUACACAAAAUUUAAAAUGGCCAUAACCAAAUAGCGAACAAAUUAGAUCUAUUUUUGGUUAUUUUACUCGCGAUUCAGAUGAGGAGCUAAAUCUUGUUCAAAUCAUGAAUGCUGUUCGUGGAAACACUGAAAUGUGAACAGAUGACCAGGUUCACUCCAUUUAUCGGCUGGUGAUAAAAAUAACUCGCCGUUUUAAUCUCAUGGAACCUCGGCCUAUCAGACUCUAUCAAAAAGAGCUAAUCUAGAAAUGGAUCUUUAUUUCAAUGAAAAACAAAGCGAAAAUUCAAAAUAAUGUUAAUAAACUAAUGAAUCCAUGGUGAUGAAUAUUGACCAAUUUAAUUUCAAUGGUGAAACCAAAAACUCCUGAAACUUUAUAUUAGUGUUGUGAUGGUUGAUGAUGAUCAAAUUUCAUUCUUUUGUUAACAUGAAAAUAUUACUUUUUGAUAUUAGGAUAUCACCAAACAUGAGUAACAACAUAAUAAAUCAAUGAAUAAAAGGAAAUCAUCGAUAAAGAUUA
Panonychus citri (citrus red mite) is the source of this 2459-nucleotide RNA transcript. It is a transcript of the gene named SURP and G-patch domain-containing protein 1-like, with no coding region annotated. NCBI's taxonomy places the organism in Eukaryota, Metazoa, Arthropoda, Arachnida, Trombidiformes, Tetranychidae. The transcript is spliced from 8 exons. The record is from RefSeq and is a predicted model, not a curated record.